Long non-coding RNA from Oxyura jamaicensis (ruddy duck), 578 nucleotides. RefSeq lists it as uncharacterized. The transcript has 4 exons. NCBI's taxonomy places the organism in Eukaryota, Metazoa, Chordata, Aves, Anseriformes, Anatidae. The record is from RefSeq and is a predicted model, not a curated record.
AACUGCAUGGCCUCAGUGUGGAGCUGCACCCUGAAAGGAGGCUUACUGGGCUCCAGGCACAGCAAGGGGCAUGUCCUGUGCUCCAUCCCUGCUCCCACUUUCCAUUCUGUUCCAGGACCUGGGCUCACGUUUCUUUCUGUGUUUUAACUUCAGCUGAACUCUUGAAAAGUUUCCUUUCAAAGGUGGCAUGUGAGAGUGUAGAAAAGAUUUCUAGAUUCAUCAAAUUUAUGACCGAGAAGGGACAUUAGAUCAUCCCAUCUCAUCUCCUCACCACAGCCUUUCAUUUUCACCCUUUUACCUGUGUGUUGCAUCCCGCCACGUGAAUUCUGUGGGAGCACGUCUUCCAGGAAAGCAUCCCAUCUUGAAGAAAUCAGGCGGCGGAGAAUCCACUGCUUCCCUCAGCAGUUCGUCUGGGUUAAAGAGCCCUUUAGGACCCAGAUUUUCCUCCUUGUGAAGAGGCUUAGGCAACGUAAUCAGAACGGCUUGCGGUCUUCUUUUUUGAUAAGCUAAGCGAAAAUUAGUGAGCUGAUGAAGCCUCUUGCUGCAAGAUCCCUGCUGGAGCACCAGUUUUGGGGAGA